RNAcentral lists this signal recognition particle RNA (317 nucleotides) under Methanobacteriota archaeon. RNAcentral describes it as "Euryarchaeota archaeon signal recognition particle sRNA". It matches the Rfam family "Archaeal signal recognition particle RNA". Lineage: Archaea; Methanobacteriati; Methanobacteriota. The record is from RNAcentral.
CGGCGGACUAGGCCGGGGAGCUAGGCGUUCCCUGUAAUCUGAAAUCGCCUAUAUGCAGAGGCCGAAGUCAAAUGAGCGGCAUCCACCCCUAUGGCCCACGGCCCCUGCGCAGGCGCAGAAGUCUCGUCCUGCAGGGCCGGUGGAAACAUCCCUCAGGCCGAAGGGCCUGAAAGGAUGUUCUUACUUGUUGAACCCGUCAGGCCCGGAAGGGAGCAGCGGCAGACAAGACAUCUCGGCGCUUGCAGGGUAGCGGGACCGAGCCAGCACAGGAACAACCGUAGUCAUAGGGCGAUGUCCAUCAUUUGACCCGUCCGCCA